GAUGAACGCUGGCGGCGUGCCUAAUACAUGCAAGUCGAGCGAACGGACGAGAAGCUUGCUUCUCUGAUGUUAGCGGCGGACGGGUGAGUAACACGUGGAUAACCUACCUAUAAGACUGGGAUAACUUCGGGAAACCGGAGCUAAUACCGGAUAAUAUUUUGAACCGCAUGGUUCAAAAGUGAAAGACGGUCUUGCUGUCACUUAUAGAUGGAUCCGCGCUGCAUUAGCUAGUUGGUAAGGUAACGGCUUACCAAGGCAACGAUGCAUAGCCGACCUGAGAGGGUGAUCGGCCACACUGGAACUGAGACACGGUCCAGACUCCUACGGGAGGCAGCAGUAGGGAAUCUUCCGCAAAGGGCGAAAGCCUGACGGAGCAACGCCGCGUGAGUGAUGAAGGUCUUCGGAUCGUAAAACUCUGUUAUUAGGGAAGAACAUAUGUGUAAGUAACUGUGCACAUCUGGACGGUACCUAAUCAGAAAGCCACGGCUAACUACGUG
This 497-nucleotide ribosomal RNA is filed under the name uncultured bacterium. RNAcentral's name for it is "partial 16S ribosomal RNA". It matches the Rfam family "Bacterial small subunit ribosomal RNA", at positions 28 to 507 of the family's 1533-position model. The record is from RNAcentral.